GCAAGUCGCACGAGAAAGCCUUCGGGUGAGUAGAGUGGCGCACGGGAGAGUAAUGCAUAGGAACGUACCUAUAGGUGGGGAAUAACCACGGGAAACUGUGGCUAAUACCGCAUAAUCUGGCAACAGUAAAGGUGGCCUCUACUUGUAAGCUACCGCCAAUAGAUCGGCCUAUGUCCCAUUAGCUUGUUGGUGAGGUAAAGGCUCACCAAGGCGACGAUGGGUAGCUGGUCUGAGAGGAUGAUC
Molecule: ribosomal RNA, 243 nt
Filed under: uncultured bacterium
Lineage: Bacteria
Description: partial 16S ribosomal RNA
Rfam family: Bacterial small subunit ribosomal RNA
Source: RNAcentral